UAGGGAAUCUUCCACAAUGGACGCAAGUCUGACGGAGCAACGCCGCGUGAGUGAAGAAGGUUUUCGGACCGUAAAGCUCUGUUGUUGGUGAAGAAGGAUAGAGGUAGUAACUGGCCUUUAUUUGACGGUAAUCAACCAGAAAGUCACGGCUAACUACGUGCCAGCAGCCGCGGUAAUACGUAGGUGGCAAGCGUUGUCCGGAUUUAUUGGGCGUAAAGCGAGCGCAGGCGGAAGAAUAAGUCUGAUGUGAAAGCCCUCGGCUUAACCGAGGAAUUGCAUCGGAAACU
This 287-nucleotide ribosomal RNA is filed under the name uncultured bacterium. RNAcentral describes it as "partial 16S ribosomal RNA". It matches the Rfam family "Bacterial small subunit ribosomal RNA", at positions 355 to 634 of the family's 1533-position model. The record is from RNAcentral.